GAUCCUGGCUCAGAGUGAACGCUGGCGGUAGGCCUAACACAUGCAAGUCGAACGGCAGCACAGUAAGAGCUUGCUCUUAUGGGUGGCGAGUGGCGGACGGGUGAGGAAUACAUCGGAAUCUACCUUUUCGUGGGGGAUAACGUAGGGAAACUUACGCUAAUACCGCAUACGACCUCGGUGAAGNAGGACGUCGGCCGUCGUCGUCGGACGUAGAUGAGCGACUGUCGGACGUUAGUC
Molecule: ribosomal RNA, 237 nt
Filed under: uncultured bacterium
Lineage: Bacteria
Description: partial 16S ribosomal RNA
Rfam family: Bacterial small subunit ribosomal RNA
Source: RNAcentral